RNAcentral lists this ribosomal RNA (571 nucleotides) under bacterium amp-d-1. RNAcentral describes it as "bacterial SSU rRNA". It matches the Rfam family "Bacterial small subunit ribosomal RNA", at positions 49 to 610 of the family's 1533-position model. The record is from RNAcentral.
CUACACAUGCAGUCGACGGCAGCACAGAGAGAGCUUGCUCCUUGGGUGGCGAGUGGCGGACGGGUGAGGAAUACAUCGGAAUCUACUCUGUCGUGGGGGAUAACGUAGGGAAACUUACGCUAAUACCGCAUACGACCUACGGGUGAAAGCAGGGGAUCUUCGGACCUUGCGCGAUUGAAUGAGCCGAUGUCGGAUUAGCUAGUUGGCGGGGUAAAGGCCCACCAAGGCGACGAUCCGUAGCUGGUCUGAGAGGAUGAUCAGCCACACUGGAACUGAGACACGGUCCAGACUCCUACGGGAGGCAGCAGUGGGGAAUAUUGGACAAUGGGCGCAAGCCUGAUCCAGCCAUACCGCGUGGGUGAAGAAGGCCUUCGGGUUGUAAAGCCCUUUUGUUGGGAAAGAAAUCCAGCCGGCUAAUACCUGGUUGGGAUGACGGUACCCAAAGAAUAAGCACCGGCUAACUUCGUGCCAGCAGCCGCGGUAAUACGAAGGGUGCAAGCGUUACUCGGAAUUACUGGGCGUAAAGCGUGCGUAGGUGGUCGUUUAAGUCCGUUGUGAAAGCCCUGGGCUC